GUGCUCGCUUCAGCAACACAUAUACUAAAAUUGGACUGAUAUAGAGAAGUAGCAUGGCCCUUGGGCAAGGAUGACACGCAAAUUCACGAAGCGUUGCAUAAUUUU
RNAcentral lists this small nuclear RNA (105 nucleotides) under Myotis davidii. Lineage: Eukaryota; Metazoa; Chordata; Mammalia; Chiroptera; Vespertilionidae. The record is from RNAcentral.